This is a non-coding RNA of Podarcis lilfordi (Lilford's wall lizard), 176 nucleotides long. Lineage: Eukaryota; Metazoa; Chordata; Lepidosauria; Squamata; Lacertidae. The record is from the annotation of a GenBank genome assembly.
AUGGAAGGAGAGAGAAAAAGGAAGGGGGAAAUCUCAAGAUGUGGAUUUGGUUUUAUUUAUAAACAAGCCCAACACAUUUUAGCUUGCGUAAAUUGACACAUUGGGCUUGCUUAUAAAUAAAACCAUAUCCAGCAUCUUGAGAUUUUCCUCCUUCCCCCUUUUCUGAUUUAUUCUGG